UCUGGACUGGUUCGUGAACUUCCCAGUAUAAAAAACCAAGUAUCU
Molecule: regulatory RNA element, 45 nt
Organism: Lachnospiraceae bacterium 9_1_43BFAA
Lineage: Bacteria; Bacillati; Bacillota; Clostridia; Lachnospirales; Lachnospiraceae
Rfam family: PreQ1 (pre queuosine) riboswitch aptamer
About the family: This family is a bacterial riboswitch that binds to the metabolite preQ1, an intermediate in the biosynthesis of the modified nucleoside queuosine from GTP. One example of this riboswitch is located in the leader of the Bacillus subtilis ykvJKLM (queCDEF) operon which encodes four genes necessary for queuosine production. PreQ1 binding to the riboswitch aptamer is thought to induce premature transcription termination within the leader to down-regulate expression of these genes.
Source: Rfam